GGCCUAAUACAUGCAAGUCGAACGGUUGGUAGCAAUACCAAUAGUGGCGCACGGGUGCGUAACGCGUAACCAACCUACCCGAAUCUGGGGGAUAGCCCGCCGAAAGGCGGAUUAAUACCGCAUAAAACUGCAGGACGGCAUCGUUCAACAGUUAAAGAUUUAUUGGAUUCGGAUGGGGUUGCGUGCCAUUAGCUAGUUGGGGGGGUAACGGCCCACCAAGGCGACGAUGGCUAGGGGAGCUGAGAGGCUGGUCCCCCACACGGGCACUGAGAUACGGGCCCGACUCCUACGGGAGGCAGCAGUAGGGAAUAUUGGCAAUGGUCGAGAGACUGACCCAGCCAUGCCGCGUGCAGGAUGAAGGCUUUCUGAGUCGUAAACUGCUUUUGCCAGGGAAGAAAAAAGGGGAUGCGUCCUCUACUGACGGUACCUGGUGAAUAAGCACCGGCUAACUCCGUGCCAGCAGCCGCGGUAAUACGGAGGGUGCAAGCGUUGUCCGGAUUUAUUGGGUUUAAAGGGUGCGUAGGCGGCUUUUCAAGUCUGGGGUGAAAGCCCGUUGCUCAACAACGGAACUGCCCUGGAAACUGGAGAGCUUGAGUACAGACGAGGGUGGCGGAAUGGAUACUGUAGCGGUGAAAUGCAUAGAUAGUAUCCAGAACCCCGAUUGCGAAGGCAGCUGCCUAGACUGUAACUGACGCUGAGGCACGAAAGCGUGGGGAGCGAACAGGAUUAGAUACCCUGGUAGUCCACGCCGUAAACGAUGGAUACUCGCUGGUGGCGACAGACUGUCACUGGCUUAGCGAAAGCGUUAAGUAUCCCACCUGGGGAGUACGCUCGCAAGAG
RNAcentral lists this ribosomal RNA (840 nucleotides) under uncultured bacterium. Its description in RNAcentral is "bacterial SSU rRNA". It matches the Rfam family "Bacterial small subunit ribosomal RNA", at positions 45 to 894 of the family's 1533-position model. The record is from RNAcentral.